RNAcentral lists this ribosomal RNA (200 nucleotides) under uncultured bacterium. Its description in RNAcentral is "partial 16S ribosomal RNA". It matches the Rfam family "Bacterial small subunit ribosomal RNA", at positions 29 to 221 of the family's 1533-position model. The record is from RNAcentral.
AACGAACGUUAGCGGUGUGGAUUAGGCAUGCAAGUCGAGCGCGAAAGCCCGCAAGGGUGAGUAAAGCGGCGAAAGGGUGAGUAAUACGUAACCAACUUACCCCUGAGACCGGAAUAACCGACGGAAACGUUGGCUAAUGCCGGAUGGUCCCUCCGGGAGGCAUCUCCUGGUUGGUAAACGGUGGCGCAAGCUGCUGCUCG